This 375-nucleotide long non-coding RNA is filed under the name Oncorhynchus kisutch (coho salmon). RNAcentral describes it as "lncRNA (ENSOKIG00005002096.1)". Lineage: Eukaryota; Metazoa; Chordata; Actinopteri; Salmoniformes; Salmonidae. The record is from RNAcentral.
CGGGCGAUGGACACAUUACUGACACUAGGCAGAUACCUCAAGGAGGACCCCAUGGAGAUGAAACACACAGAAAUGUCGAACUCUGGAACCCUGGAGGAAAGUUCUGCAGUUCUAGAAGCAGAACCUCAUCUUGAUCCAUCUGAGAUCAGAGGGGGAUGCAGUUUUUCCUCCCUCACAGUGCAGAGAGGGAGCAUACCUAAGUGGACGGGAUAUGAUCGGAAAACUUUAGAAUCCAACCCAAAAGUUUUCCUCUUCCAAAUGACCGUGAGUAUAACGUUUAUUUCUUCAAUCUGGUCAGUCACACAGAAAUGCUUAGGGCCUGUGUCACGGAACCACAUUAAGCCUUAUUCCAUGUUUAAAAGCCAUUUCCAUUGA